Vespula vulgaris is the source of this 1395-nucleotide RNA transcript. It is a transcript of the gene named tetraspanin-31-A, with no coding region annotated. The record is from RefSeq and is a predicted model, not a curated record. The transcript is spliced from 7 exons. NCBI's taxonomy places the organism in Eukaryota, Metazoa, Arthropoda, Insecta, Hymenoptera, Vespidae.
GAAGCGUCCCAUGUUCGGAGCAGUCGCACGCAGUUACAAGGUACCUGUCACAAUUGGAUAAUCUCUUAACGAAGAAGGUCGAAGUGUAGAAAUAAAGGGAGAAAGAUCGAAAGAGAAGCUUCAUGAGAGUUUUCUGCGCAUACAAAACUACUGAUAAGUGAAAAUAUUUUGUAGAAAUUAAUCGAAUUUUUCUUAAAUUGCAACUCUACAACUCUGUUCGGAUCGUUCGGAAAAAGACCGAGUAGAAAGAUGUGUGGUGGUUUUACGUGCUCGAAAAGUGCGCUGACAGCACUAAAUAUACUCUAUAUCGUUGUUGCAUUUAUUUUGAUUGGUGUCGCAGUUUAUGGAAGAGCAUCAGCUUUAGUCACUAAUCUUCCUAUAAUUGGUGGAAUUUUAGCCUGUGGAGUGAUACUUAUUCUCAUUUCUAUUCUUGGGCUAAUUGGUGCUGUUAAACAUCAUCAAGUUUUAUUGUUCUUUUACAUGCUUAUCUUGUUCCUUCUAUUUUUGAUUCAAUUCAGCAUUGCUUGUGCUUGUCUUGCAGUUAAUGCUAAACAACAAGAACAACUUGCAGAACAAGGAUGGAGACGCGUUGGAGAUGAUUUAAGAGCUAAAGUAGAAGAAACCUUCCAUUGCUGUGGAUUUAAUGACACUGUUAUCGAAAAAGAUCCCUUGGCAUGCCAUGAUAAAAAUAGAACUUGCUGUCCUUUCUCUGACCGUGAAUGUACUGACCGAUGUCCACUAUGUAUGCAAAAAUUGCAAUCUACAAUUGAUUAUGCCUUCAAACUUUGUGGUAGUAUAGGAUUAUUUUUCAGUUUUACAGAGUUUGUUGGUGUUUGGUUGACCGUGCGAUACAGGAACCAGAAAGAUCCGCGAGCUAAUCCUAGUGCUUUUCUCUAGUCUAACACCAUCGCCAUGUCCUCUAUCUCCUCAUACGACCCCCCUAAUAGAUGGUGGGUGGUAUCAUAAUGUAAUCGCAGCUUUUGUAGCGAAGCAUUACAAAAAUCAGCUAGAUCCGCAACAGAAAGCUGCAAGAGCUGCAUUUCCCCAACUAAAUUAUCUUUACUAAUAUGACUCACAAAAAUUUAAUUUACGUGCACUUUUAUUUUCUUCGUAGAAAAGUGAUGCUAGAUCCACGAAUAUUGGAUCUUGCUUUAUAUCCGUAAUCAAUAGAAAAUAUAUGAUUAUCACCUAAGAGCCAGAGAACAAAUUUUUAUGUAUCUGUUUAAGGAUGAGAUAAAAGUAUCAUUUCUAGUUCAUAAUACUCGAAAGAAUUCUACAAUAUUAUAAUAUGAGAAUGAACAAUUUUACAAAAUUACAUCUAUAAAAUAUGUUGUAAUCAUUUACACAAAAUGCUCAAUACAAGCUUUAACACACUGUGUGGCUUAAUGUUGGAUA